This is a long non-coding RNA of Dromaius novaehollandiae (emu), 665 nucleotides long. RefSeq lists it as uncharacterized. The transcript has 3 exons. The record is from RefSeq and is a predicted model, not a curated record. Lineage: Eukaryota; Metazoa; Chordata; Aves; Casuariiformes; Dromaiidae.
GCGCGCAGCGGCUCGGGGCUGCGCGGGGAGCGGCGGGGCGGGGACAGCGCUCCCGCGGGGCUGCAGCGGCACCGGACGGGCCGAGGCGGAUCCGCAGCCGCCGCCGCCAGCAGCGCCCUCCGCCCCGCGCUGGCGGGCGGCAGCGCGGCGGUGGCCGGAGCCUGGCGCGGCCGCGGGCGGGCUGCGCCUGCCGCUUCCUCGCCGACACGCGCGACUCGCUGGGAAACGCGUGGGGCUGGGCAGAGCUUUAGCUCUGCCUCUGGUGCUGCAGCCUGCUCCUCGCAGCUCCGGUGCCUGGAAGCUUUUAAGUCACGUCUCUAAGACCACCAAAACUGUAGUCGUGGUAACACAGAGUUGUCGUGGCUUCUAAGGAUCUGAAGAAAUGUCCUCCUUUCGCUGGUGAUCGUGAAUGACUCUAAAGGAAGCUCUUUGAAACCCAUGUUUUCCAUCAGCAUCAGACCAGCCAUGAGUAUUAGUCUCACCAAAAUGUUCACAAUCUGUCACUGUGCAAUGGAGACAUGUUGAGACUCCAGUUUGGUCCAUCAGUAUCGAGAGGAUUUCUGACUGAAUCAUGGACAGGCAGCUUUGUCAUCAAUGCAAAGUGUGUGGGUGUGGAGUUUCCUGUUCAGUGCCAAUUAUCAGUGAAAAAAGUGGAGGAAGUGGGG